GACGAACGCUGGCGGCGUGCUUAACACAUGCAAGUCGAACGGAAAGGCCCUGCUUGCAGGGUACUCGAGUGGCGAACGGGUGAGUAACACGUGGGUGAUCUGCCCUGCACUUCGGGAUAAGCUUGGGAAACUGGGUCUAAUACCGGAUAGGACCGCACUUUAGUGUGUGUGGUGGAAAGUUUUUUCGGUGUAGGAUGAGCUCGCGGCCUAUCAGCUUGUUGGUGGGGUAAUGGCCUACCAAGGCGGCGACGGGUAGCUGGCCUGAGAGGGUGUACGGCCACAUUGGGACUUAGGUACGGCCCAGGCUCCUACUGGUGGCAGCAGUGGGGAAUAUUGCACAAUGGGCGCAAGCCUGGUGCAGCGACUCCGCGUGUUGUAUGAAGGCCUUCGUGUUGUAAACUCCUUUCGCUAUGGACGAAUCUUUUUGUGACGGUACCUAGAUAAGAAGCACCGGCUAACUACGUG
RNAcentral lists this ribosomal RNA (465 nucleotides) under uncultured bacterium. RNAcentral describes it as "partial 16S ribosomal RNA". It matches the Rfam family "Bacterial small subunit ribosomal RNA", at positions 28 to 507 of the family's 1533-position model. The record is from RNAcentral.